GAUGAACGCUGGCGGCGUGCCUAAUACAUGCAAGUAGAACGCUGAAGGAAGGAGCUUGCUCUUUCCGGAUGAGUUGCGAACGGGUGAGUAACGCGUAGGUAACCUGCCUGGUAGCGGGGGAUAACUAUUGGAAACGAUAGCUAAUACCGCAUAACAGUAGAUGUUGCAUGAUAUCUACUUAAAAGGUGCAAUUGCACCACUACCAGAUGGACCUGCGUUGUAUUAGCUAGUUGGUGAGGUAACGGCUCACCAAGGCGACGAUACAUAGCCGACCUGAGAGGGUGAUCGGCCACACUGGGACUGAGACACGGCCCAGACUCCUACGGGAGGCAGCAGUAGGGAAUCUUCGGCAAUGGACGGAAGUCUGACCGAGCAACGCCGCGUGAGUGAAGAAGGUUUUCGGAUCGUAAAGCUCUGUUGUAAGAGAAGAAAGAGUGUGAGAGUGGAAAGUUCACACUGUGACGGUAUCUUACCAGAAAGGGACGGCUAACUACGUG
This 497-nucleotide ribosomal RNA is filed under the name uncultured bacterium. RNAcentral describes it as "partial 16S ribosomal RNA". It matches the Rfam family "Bacterial small subunit ribosomal RNA", at positions 28 to 507 of the family's 1533-position model. The record is from RNAcentral.